AAUGUCACUGUGACUGUGUUGAUUCAAGACGGAGAAAAACGAGAAAAGAAAUGAUGAUGAGAUUCUUCCCCCUGGGGGUGAGGGCAGUAAUUAAUUCUGCUGCCACAGAGAGGGAAUAUUAAUCAGCUAAUUAGCACCAGCAGAACAUAACUAUAAAUACCCGGAGCGAUGAGUCAGUGGUGGUGUUUGAACUGUGUUUGACGUCAAGGUGUAGACGGAAAACUGAGAACUGAAACUUCCUAAUGAAACUGAGGUUUGUUCUCUUUGUGCUGUGACGCCUUCAUCUUCAUCAUCACUGUUAUCUGUUAUUACUGCUACUACAUUUCUUACAGUUUUACUGGAGCCGGCAGACUGGUGGUCUCAUGGCUCCAGGGUCAGAGCACUGACUGGGCCUGAAACCAGAGGAUCGAAGGUUUGAAUCCCACUGUGGCUGCUGCUCCCCAGGAAUGAUUCAAAGGCAGAGGUCGCAGCUUCUCUGGAUCAUCUUUAAAAACCUAACACCAUCUUCCACUGAAAGAGUCCUGAAAAUGAUCCAAGAAAUGAGAGUAAAUGUUGGAGAAGUGAAGCUCUGAGGUCUUUGUCAUGGAGCUCCUCCUCCUCCUCCUCUGCUGCAGGUGAUCCUGUCGUUCAUCACACACUCCUCUGCUCUCUUCUCAUUCUCUCCCUGGUGCUUCGGUGUUUUGUACAUAUUAAAGCAGCUUCUACUCUGGAGCCUCGGAGGAGUCGCCUGUAAACUCCUUAUUUUAUGAUUGUGUAAUAAACCACGGCGGUGUAGGAAUAACUGUAAAGUCCACGGCGUGUAAACAUGACUGCAUACAUUUAUUUUGGAAAUUUAACGUCAGUCGUUGUUAAAAGUUGUCCAUUAAAUGUUAGUGGAAAACUUCUGGCCUUGAAUAUUAAAUUCUACAGAGUUCUGUGAGCGUUUACAGCCAGAGUCAAACAGAUGUAACAUCCUCAUGGUCACGGCUGCAGUUUAAUGUCUGAAGAAGUGGUUGGAGUGAAGUCACUGAUCUGGAGUCAGAUCAGAAAAAAAACCCUGUUCCAUGGAUGAGUGACAGCUUUUACCAAAAUAACCCUCGUCAAGGUCAGGAGGUCAGCAGAGAUUGUAGAAUUGACUGUAACACACUUUACAUCUGCAAACGUCUCAUUUUGUAGAUGUUUUGUAGAUGAAUGUUGUUGUUUUUCCUGGAGCACAUUUUCCUGCAGGGAUGAAAGGAUGACAACUCAGCAAAUCUUUUACAUCAACUUGACAUUUCAUUUCUUUUCCUGGAAAGUUUUACUCUUAUUUUUUCUUUUCUAAAUCUUCUUUUCUGAUCACAGAUAAAGUGUGGCUGUAUCUUCUUCACAUGUUUGGAAAAGUCAGGGCUGCUUCUUAUCAGGAGAACGAUUUCUCUUCCGCUCCUGAGACUGGAGGGAAAUCAAACUCUGCUGCUGUGUUUUUUUUCUAACAUAUUCUCUGCACCAGUGAGGUCAGUAGAUGAUGAAGAUCUGCUCUCCUUUAAACACCUCUGAUUCGCUGCUCAGUUCCCCCACUGAUUCUGUUUUGAGACUACGUUCUACAACAAUAAAAGACACAAAUAACAAAACCAGAUUCCUUCAGGUGACGCUUUAAAUCAAUGUUUAUUUAUGUUGAUGAAAAUGUGUGUUUUUUUAGGACAGCGGUGAAGAUAGUCUGAGUUCUGGAUGAAGGUGUAGAUGCUCCCCCUUGUGGCUCCUUAGUGUAAACCCAGAGCUGUCAGCCAGUGAGUCUCAGAGUUUUCUACCACCUUAUAUUUUUUGUACCACUCUCAAAUGUUUGUGUCUUCCAGUGCCACCAGUUUGACCGACAUUGAAUUGAUGGCGUCAGAUGAACUUCACGCAUAUGUGUCUAAUUAUUCCCAUCUAUUCACAGCAACACACGGGAACAGGGGAUCCUGCAGUCAGCUGGUUCUGUCGUCUGCUUCCUGGUUGGUCAGUCAACAAAUAGCUUCCACUGUUCUAUGUCAAAUAAUUGUUAAGGUUGAGGCAGGACAUCAAGUUCACUGAGGAGGAAGUCCCUCUAUAAUGAUUUCAUUUUCUGCUGGCUUGGCCUCUCUGUUGUCCUACUGUCCUCACACCACAUUAACCAGACAAUCUUCUGGAUAAUUGAGCUGCUUUUUCCAUUCACUGCACUUUUCAGGAGAACAUUUUGCUGAUGGUGGGGAAUCAGCAGAGACUGGGAGAGAGACAGAGAGAGAGAGAGAGAGAGAGAUGUCUGCACUAAGAGAAACUGAACGUUUGGGUUUUUGGUUUAUUUCUUAGAGAUAAUUGAACUGUUUUUGCCUCUUGUUAGUUUUUACCUUACUGUAAAACUACUUCAAGGUGAUUCUCUAUUUCUCUAUUUACUAACGUGUGUGUGUGUGUGUGUGUUAUGCGUUAUUGCCUUUUUAUUCAGAUCUGUGAGGUUGGAUGAGGGAAGAUUUAAUACCUCAAAAAUGGUGUCUGCGAGCAACUGCAGCUGUUGUCAAACUGUUAAGUUUUGUUGUUCAUUUAAGUCGGCUGGUAAUCUAGAAUUACAUUCUAGACUGAACUGGAUUUUCGUAACUGAGAAACACGAUCUGAUCAUUUGUUUUCUUGCAGAGUGAAGAUGGGCCACUGCCCUGCUGCCAACCUUUCCAGUGUGACUUCAGAUGACGUUUCUGUUUGGCAGAUGUACAAUAACUGAAGACUAAACCAAAGGCAAGGCAGCUUUAAAGACAGUAGAUGGAUGUCACAGACAAUUAAUUUUUUUUAAUAUUGUUCGUAUUUUAUUAGGAAAUGCAAUAAUAAUAAAAACAAACAACUGCGGUAAUAGAUAGAUAGAUAAUAGAAAAUAAGAUAAAUCCUUUUAAACUUCUUCACCUAACCUUGUGAAUGACAGGACUAAUUUCCUGGGCAUAAUGCAAUGUCUGAUUUGGUCUCGGAUAAAUUUCCUUAGCUGAAAAUUUUUAAUGAAGAAGUUGAAAUGCUAUUUCCGGAAUUUUAAUGAAAUCCCACUCCCAUUUAUCCCAUUAAUGAGGCCAUUAAUGCUCAAAAAUGGCGAUGCUCCAGAGGAACUCAUUUUAUCUGGAGCUAUAAUUAAAAUGUGAUGCGUUACCUUUCAUUGCAUUAAAAUUUCUCAGCUUCUAAAUCUGCUUAAGGACUGCAUUGUGUUGUUUUUAUUUUUAAACUCAAGGUCAAUGGAUUAGUCUUUUAGUAAAUAGCAGAGCAGAAAUUAUUGAUCUGCAGCGAGGAGAUCAUUGUUACACGACACUAAGAGGAGAGAACAUCUCCCUGAGCUUCAGGACCAACCAGAGUCCAGCUCUGCUACAGGGAGCACCUGGGUCUGCUCAUCAACAAACAUGCUGAGAACAAGAACAGGAGGAGGAGUUUAUUAUGAAGCAUUGUACUAUUUUAUUAGUGUUCAACAAUAACCUUUGCUUUGUUUUUUUAAAUAUUUGACUUCAAUAAAGUACAUUUGGUUA
Long non-coding RNA from Cynoglossus semilaevis (tongue sole), 3461 nucleotides. RefSeq lists it as uncharacterized. The transcript has 2 exons. The record is from RefSeq and is a predicted model, not a curated record. Lineage: Eukaryota; Metazoa; Chordata; Actinopteri; Pleuronectiformes; Cynoglossidae.